RNAcentral lists this transfer RNA (131 nucleotides) under Leeuwenhoekiella marinoflava. Its description in RNAcentral is "tRNA-Val". It matches the Rfam family "tRNA". From Rfam's summary of the family: Transfer RNA (tRNA) molecules are approximately 80 nucleotides in length. Their secondary structure includes four short double-helical elements and three loops (D, anti-codon, and T loops). Further hydrogen bonds mediate the characteristic L-shaped molecular structure. tRNAs have two regions of fundamental functional importance: the anti-codon, which is responsible for specific mRNA codon recognition, and the 3' end, to which the tRNAs corresponding amino acid is attached (by aminoacyl-tRNA synthetases). tRNAs cope with the degeneracy of the genetic code in two manners: having more than one tRNA (with a specific anti-codon) for a particular amino acid; and 'wobble' base-pairing, i.e. permitting non-standard base-pairing at the 3rd anti-codon position. Lineage: Bacteria; Pseudomonadati; Bacteroidota; Flavobacteriia; Flavobacteriales; Flavobacteriaceae. The record is from RNAcentral.
GAUCAAGUGGCGGAACUGGUAGACGCACCAUAGAUUAAAUGGAUUAGCGGAGGAAUUAAUCACGAUCCGAGGACAGCGCCCGGUAAAACGCGGCGACGAUGCUAAUGCAGGUUCGAGUCCUGCCUUGAUCA